RNAcentral lists this ribosomal RNA (680 nucleotides) under uncultured diatom. RNAcentral's name for it is "SSU rRNA". It matches the Rfam family "Eukaryotic small subunit ribosomal RNA", at positions 455 to 1140 of the family's 1831-position model. The record is from RNAcentral. Lineage: Eukaryota; Bacillariophyta.
CACAGGGAGGUAGUGACAAUAAAUAACAAUGCCGGGCCUUUACAGGUCUGGCAAUUGGAAUGAGAACAAUUUAAAUCCCUUAUCGAGUAUCAAUUGGAGGGCAAGUCUGGUGCCAGCAGCCGCGGUAAUUCCAGCUCCAAUAGCGUAUAUUAAAGUUGUUGCAGUUAAAAAGCUCGUAGUUGAAUUUCUGGUGGGAGUGUACAGUCCGACACUGAGUGUUGGUUCUUGUGUGUCUCCGGCCAUCCUUGGAGUGAAUCUAUCUGGCAUUCAGUUGUUGGGUAGAGUAUCUCCAUCGUUUACUGUGAGGAAAGGAAAGUGUUCAAAGCAGGCUUACGCCGUUGAAUCUUUUAGCAUGGAAUAAUAAGAUAGGAUCUUGAUACUAUUUUGUUGGUUUGCGUGUCGAGAUAAUGAUCAAUAGGGACAGUUGGGGGUAUUUGUAUUCCAUAGUCAGAGGUGAAAUUCUUGGAUUUAUGGAAGACAAACUAAUGCGAAAGCAUCUACCAAGGAUGUUUUCAUUAAUCAAGAACGAAAGUGUGGGGAUCGAAGAUGAUUAGAUACCAUCGUAGUCUACACCAUAAACCAUGCCGACUCAGGGUUGACCGGCGUUAUCAUGACCUGGUCAGAACUGUAUGAGAAAUCAAAGUCUUUGGGUUCCGGGGGGAGUAUGGUCGCAAGGCUGA